Molecule: ribosomal RNA, 1893 nt
Filed under: Triticum aestivum (bread wheat)
Lineage: Eukaryota; Viridiplantae; Streptophyta; Magnoliopsida; Poales; Poaceae
Description: partial small subunit ribosomal RNA
Source: RNAcentral
AUGGGGUCUAACAAAACCCUUGGCCUCCUAUGUGGCAUACUAACAUGCAAAACUGCUGCUUGUCAGGACAAAAAACCAUCUACACAAACCAGUAGACGGAACCUUUUCUUUCAAAUCAAUAAUAUGUUUUAUCCCAACCCAACCAUCUGGAAUAUGUACAUGAAGGAAUACAUUUCACAUAAUGUCAUGCUUGCAUCGAUCAGAAUAUCAGAGCGCGACCUGGAAGACCUGGAGCCGGAAUUUAGCGGUCUCGAUCAGUUUGUUGCGGGCAAAGGCGGUCAGCGCCUGCUGCACUACGAGUAUGCCAUUGGGGACGUUCUCCUGCGCCAUCUUGUCGGCGUAGCUGGUGACCACCUUCGUGCCGGGCUUGGGUUCGUUCGGGAAGAAGACGUAGAUCUGGAGGGGCAUUGCCAACGCCGUCAAUCAGCCGACGCCCUAGCUAGUACGGAAAUCGUCGGGGAGGUGGGGACGCACCUGGUCGUCGGGGUUGUCCUUCUUGGCGCGGUUGAUGACGAGGUCAUCGCGGCGCACGGGGUCGCCCCGCCGGACACCCCCAUCCCUGACCUGCCCUGGGUGAUGCUGGAUCGCAUCGCCCACUGCACCUUGCCGGGCGACGACACAGACGCCGACGGCACGACACCGGAGGUCUCCGAGACCUGCACCGGUAGGCCCAUCGCCGUCUCCCUCAGGGUCGCUCCGCCCCCCGCCGUGUCUCGUCUCUACCUCCACUUUCCAGAUGGGCUCAGGCCAGAGAUGAAGCUGCUGGAACCGCCCUCCGUCCUCGCGGCUCAUGGCCGCUCCAUACUUUUCCAGACCUAUGUCCCGCACAUUGACCAGUGCCGCCCCAACUAUUACCCCAUGGACUACUUCGUCUACACGGCCCCCGGCCGCCCAGGCAAGCGCCCGUUCCUAAGGCGGCUCCCGCCUUGCUUCAAGGGUGGGCAAGUGAACCCGGAAGUGGACAAGCUCUUCCUCCCGUACCGGUACCAGCAACAGCGGACGAUGAACAGCGAUAACAUCGGCCUGCUGUGCUACGGCGAGGAGGAGUUCACGGUGGCCGAGCUCUAUUCAUGGGGCGAGCUCUGCCUGCUGCACCAUGCACCUGGGAAGGCCAUGGAAUGGGAAUUCAGGACGCUGCAGAUGCCUUAUGGCAAGGGCGUCCCUGACUUUCUGUAUGGUUCCUGGAAUACCGACUCCGUCAUCCCCUUUGGCGGUUCCUUGUGCUGGGUCGAUUGCUACCUCGGCUUGCUGUUUGUCACCGUGCAUGGAGAUCUUACAAGGCCGCCCCGCUAUGUCUCGAUGCCAGCAGAUCUGGACACUCGUCGUCUCUAUAUUGACCCAGGGGUCCCUGACCCAGCACGCCGUGUGUGUGUCACUGACAGCGGCAUGGUUAAGCUCAUUUGUAUCAGCGAUGCUGCAGGCCGCAGCGUGCAUAUACAUUCUUCUGAUUUCAAAAUCAGGACAUGGAAUCUGUCCAACGGGAUAUGGAAAAAAGAUGCCACCAUGGAAGCCCGUGAGCUCGAGAAUGUUCUUUCCUCUGACAAGCGCCAACCACUGCUCCUGCCAAAGUUUCCUAUCAUGAACUUGGUUGAUCAUGAUGUUGUCUGCUUUGUGUUGAAUAAUAGAGACCGCAAUUUCUGGCUGGUUGAGGUCAAUCUGAGGAAGAAGGCGCUUGGGGCAGUCACCCUCUAUACCAACGAAGAAAAAGAAAACCAAGCAGCAGCAGAAGAACACCUGACCUGGGAUGACAUUGUCCGCAAUACCUUCUUCACCACCGUCUCCGUCAACUCCAUCUCCUUCAUCCCCAGCCAAUUCACCAUGUACUUGGAUAAGCAUGCCAUCAAAAGGUACUUAAGUCUCAUGUUAUGUGAUUAUCCUUGCCAUUCAUGUUAA